Molecule: ribosomal RNA, 271 nt
Filed under: uncultured bacterium
Lineage: Bacteria
Description: partial 16S ribosomal RNA
Rfam family: Bacterial small subunit ribosomal RNA
Source: RNAcentral
UACGGAGGGUGCAAGCGUUAUCCGGAUUCACUGGGUUUAAAGGGUGCGUAGGCGGGUUUGUAAGUCAGUGGUGAAAUCUCCAGGCUUAACCUGGAAACUGCCAUUGAUACUAUAGAUCUUGAAUACCUUGGAGGUGAGCGGAAUAUGUCAUGUAGCGGUGAAAUGCUUAGAUAUGACAUAGAACACCGAUUGCGAAGGCAGCUCACUACACGGUCAUUGACGCUGAGGCACGAAAGCGUGGGGAUCAAACAGGAUUAGAUACCCUAGUAGU